AACGUAGGACGCAAGCGUUAUCCGGAGUUACUGGGCGUAAAGCGCGGGCAGGCGGCCUCGCAAGUCUGAUGUGAAAGCACUCUGCUCAACAGAGUGAUGCCAUUGGAAACUACAAGGCUGGAGUCUGGCAGAGGUAGGCGGAAUUCCGGGUGGAGUGGUGAAAUGCGUAGAGAUCCGGAGGAACACCAGAGGCGAAGGCGGCCUACUGGGCCAGUACUGACGCUGAGCCGCGAAAGCCAGGGGAGCGAACGGG
This 253-nucleotide ribosomal RNA is filed under the name uncultured bacterium. RNAcentral describes it as "partial 16S ribosomal RNA". It matches the Rfam family "Bacterial small subunit ribosomal RNA", at positions 524 to 776 of the family's 1533-position model. The record is from RNAcentral.